AGGAUCUGCAGUGGCUACGAUAACCAAGUGCUACAAAAAUGCUGUGACAAGGAAUCUGAACAAUAGAGAUUUGACGGAAACAAAGCACUUUCGACGAAGGUCCUGCUGCUUGUCUUUAGCUCGGUACCAAUUAGAGCUUCACUGGAGGUGAAAAGGGCAGACAGGGUUGCUGAGUGGCUAGUUGGAGAGUCCCUGAGAGAUUACCCAAGAAACUCAGUUGCGGCACAUGGUGGAGCAGCCUCUCAGAAAAUGGAGUUCUAAAUAUAGUAACAAUUUAGUUAUAGUUACUUCCACUUUCAGAGAUGUGAUCCCUUACUGUGUA
Molecule: long non-coding RNA, 322 nt
Filed under: Pongo abelii (Sumatran orangutan)
Lineage: Eukaryota; Metazoa; Chordata; Mammalia; Primates; Hominidae
Description: lincRNA
Source: RNAcentral